Molecule: long non-coding RNA, 299 nt
Filed under: Rattus norvegicus (Norway rat)
Lineage: Eukaryota; Metazoa; Chordata; Mammalia; Rodentia; Muridae
Description: long non-coding RNA NONRATT014525
Source: RNAcentral
GGGUGGCGCGCGGCAGCGGGGCUGGGCUCCGGCCCGGAGUCAGCGGAGGGAGCGCGCGCGCGCGCUCCCCGACAGCAGGCUUCUGGAGUCCACUUUGUCUCUAGAGUGGCUAGAAACCCCCGAAUCACAUUUCUAGAGUCAGCCCUAACCAGCCACUGCCAGGAAGGAUACCCAGGUCGUAUUGGAGGACGGAACGACCAGGAACUUGGCAUGGUAUGCCAGCCCGCUGUGAGUGUAUGCUUUCUGAGCAUGGAUAGCCCCAGUGACCCCUCUCACCUGCUGUAUCUCCUUUGGUGGGG